This 503-nucleotide ribosomal RNA is filed under the name uncultured bacterium. Its description in RNAcentral is "bacterial SSU rRNA". It matches the Rfam family "Bacterial small subunit ribosomal RNA", at positions 8 to 502 of the family's 1533-position model. The record is from RNAcentral.
AGAGUUUGAUCCUGGCUCAGAUUGAACGCUGGCGGUAUGCUUUAACACAUGCAAGUCGAACGGAAACGACAAGAGCUUGCUCUUGGGCGUCGAGUGGCGGACGGGUGAGUAACGCGUAGGAAUCUGCCUGAUAGUGGGGGAUAGCCCAGAGAAAUCUGGAUUAAUACCGCAUAAUAUCUAUGGAUUAAAGUGGAGGAUCUUCGGACUUCACGCUAUCAGAUGAGCCUGCGUAAGAUUAGUUUGUUGGUGAGGUAAAGGCUCACCAAGGCGACGAUCUUUAGCUGGUCUGAGAGGAUGAUCAGCCACACUGGGACUGAGACACGGCCCAGACUCCUACGGGAGGCAGCAGUGGGGAAUAUUGGACAAUGGGGGCAACCCUGAUCCAGCAAUACCGCGUGUGUGAAGAAGGCCUGAGGGUUGUAAAGCACUUUCAAUUGUGAAGAAAAGCUAGUAGUUAAUACUUAUUAGCCUUGACGUUAACUUUAGAAGAAGCACCGCUAACU